CCUACGGGGGGCAGCAGUGAGGAAUAUUGGUCAAUGGACGAGAGUCUGAACCAGCCAAGUAGCGUGAAGGAUGACUGCCCUAUGGGUUGUAAACUUCUUUUAUAUGGGAAUAAAAUGGUCCACGUGUGGGAUGUUGUAUGUACCAUAUGAAUAAGGAUCGGCUAACUCCGUGCCAGCAGCCGCGGUAAUACGGAGGAUCCGAGCGUUAUCCGGAUUUAUUGGGUUUAAAGGGAGCGCAGGUGGCUUGUUAAGUCAGGUGUGAAAGUUUGGGGCUCAACCGUAAGAGUGCAGUUGAAACUGGCAGUCUUGAGUACAGUAGAGGUAGGCGGAAUGCGUGGUGUAGCGGUGAAAUGCUUAGAUAUCGCGAAGAACUCCGAUUGCGAAGGCAGUGCACUGGACUGCAACUGACGCUGAGGCUCGAAAGUGUGGGUAUCAAACAGGAUUAGAUACCCCAGUAGUC
RNAcentral lists this ribosomal RNA (460 nucleotides) under uncultured bacterium. RNAcentral's name for it is "partial 16S ribosomal RNA". It matches the Rfam family "Bacterial small subunit ribosomal RNA", at positions 338 to 795 of the family's 1533-position model. The record is from RNAcentral.